Molecule: ribosomal RNA, 225 nt
Filed under: uncultured bacterium
Lineage: Bacteria
Description: partial 16S ribosomal RNA
Rfam family: Bacterial small subunit ribosomal RNA
Source: RNAcentral
CGAGAGGCGGACGGGUGAGUAACGCGUGGGAAUCUGCCCUGAACUGAGGGAUAAGCACCGGAAACGGUGUCUAAUACCGCAUAUGGUCUUCGGAUCAAAGCUUCGGCGGUUUGGGAGGAGCCUGCGUCUGAUUAGUUUGUUGGUAGGGUAAUUGCCUACCAAGACGAUGAUCAGUAGCUGGUCUGAGAGGAUGAUCAGCCACACUGGAACUGAGACACGGUCCAG